This 251-nucleotide ribosomal RNA is filed under the name uncultured bacterium. RNAcentral describes it as "partial 16S ribosomal RNA". It matches the Rfam family "Bacterial small subunit ribosomal RNA", at positions 524 to 771 of the family's 1533-position model. The record is from RNAcentral.
UACAGAGGGUGCAAGCGUUGUUCGGAAUUAUUGGGCGUAAAGCGCGUGUAGGCGGCUUUGCAAGUCGGGUGUGAAAGCCCUCAGCUCAACUGAGGAAGUGCGCCCGAAACUGCAGAGCUUGAGUACCGGAGAGGAUGGUGGAAUUCCCCAAGUAGAGGUGAAAUUCGUAGAUAUGGGGGAGGAACACCGGUGGCGAAGGCGACCAUCUGGACGGAUACUGACGCUGAGACGCGAAAAGCGUGGGGUAGCAA